Molecule: small nuclear RNA, 104 nt
Filed under: Carlito syrichta (Philippine tarsier)
Lineage: Eukaryota; Metazoa; Chordata; Mammalia; Primates; Tarsiidae
Source: RNAcentral
GUACUUGCUUGGCAGUACUUAUACAAAAAAAUGGGAGGAUACAAAGAUUAGUGUGGCCCCUGUGCAAGAAUGACUUACAAAUUUGUGAAUUGUUCCAUAUUUUU